GACGAACGCUGGCGGCGUGCUUAAUACAUGCAAGUCGAACGGACAGGCGCUGAUUUUGCGCGUUUCUCGUGUGGCGAACGGGUGAGUAACACGUGUGUAACCUCCCCUUGUCUUUGGGAUAUCUCUUGGAAAAUCCGGCUCUUAUCGGAUAGGAGCUCUUGAUGCACGUUGGUCGUUGGUAAGUUUCGGUGGUUCUGGCUGGUAUGGAGGGUUACCCGCUUGUUUGUGGGGUAGUGGAUUACCAAGGCUUCGAAGGGUAGGCGGCCUGGGAGGGGGACCAGCGACAAGGGGACUGCGAGACGGACCAGACUCCUACGGGAGGCAGCAGUGGAGAAUAUGGCGCAAUGGGCGGAAGCCUGAGGCAGCAACGCCGCGUGCGGGAUAACGGCCUACGGGUUGUAAACCGCUGUCGCCUGUGACGAAGCGGGAUUGACGGUAAUGGGUAAAAAAGCACCGGCUAACUACGUG
Molecule: ribosomal RNA, 468 nt
Filed under: uncultured bacterium
Lineage: Bacteria
Description: partial 16S ribosomal RNA
Rfam family: Bacterial small subunit ribosomal RNA
Source: RNAcentral